This 662-nucleotide long non-coding RNA is filed under the name Prunus persica (peach). Its description in RNAcentral is "long non-coding RNA (PPER_LNC002408)". Lineage: Eukaryota; Viridiplantae; Streptophyta; Magnoliopsida; Rosales; Rosaceae. The record is from RNAcentral.
GGACUUGGAACCAUGCUUCUCUAGAAAUCGAAAAGGAAAUGGCCGAACACUAUUGGGCCAUGGGCCAUUUGACCCUUCUCUUGAACCUUGGGCUUAACUAGCUAUUUAGCCGGAUAAUACAAAAAGCAUAAAAUUAAGGGAGCUUCUAUAGUGAGUGGGAAGUUAUAAGGGGUGUUUUUGAGGGGUAUGUAAGAGCCAUUGGAUUUCAUCCAACGGUGAGUUUUUAAAAGAGGGUGCAUGUAGAAUCGGGUUGAAAUCUAACCCGUUAGAAACUCAACUUCAGUUGUUCCCCUCUUUCCCUCUCUGUGAAAAACUGAAGAACACAAUCCUUUCUUUUUGAAUGUAAAGCAAACCCACAAUUAGAAGGAUCCAAAUCUCCCAAACCUUAUAGUCACUCCACUGUCAUUAGCUCGUUGGGAGGCCUGCGAUCUAUGGUAUCCUGGGUAUUACGAAGAAUGGCUCUUACCUAGCUGUUGCCCUGUUUUGAUUCUAUGGCUCAAGUGAAAACCCCUUCUCUUUUUCAUUCAGCUGACAAGAUUCCAGAUGAAAGCAAAGUAGCAUAUCUGUUUUUGUAGCUAGAAGCCGCAGCAGCAGUUGUUCCUCGAUUUUGGUAGAGAUGGAGUCUCAAAUACCAAAGAGUCUUCUCUAAUGUCCACCACAUU